Molecule: long non-coding RNA, 579 nt
Organism: Clupea harengus (Atlantic herring)
Lineage: Eukaryota; Metazoa; Chordata; Actinopteri; Clupeiformes; Clupeidae
Source: Ensembl
GAUCUGAGGACUCCAUCUGCAGCCUGAAGACAUGGCAAAGAUUACAGUCUCUCUCUGCGCACUGCUGGGGCUUCUGCUGGUCUUAGCUUCCGAGGGGGAAACCAGAGUAGGUACACCAAGCAGGGGAUGCUGCACACGAUUCAUCAAGGAUCUGCCUUUGAACAGAAUCCGUGGUUUCAUCGAGGAACGCCAAGGGAUAUGUCGUCUCAAAGCAGUCAAGUUCAUCACCGUAAAGGGUAAGGUUGUAUGUGCCAAUCCAAAUGACCAGUGGGUUAAGGAUGCCAAGGCGUUCAUCAGGACCCCAACUGUGGCACCCUAACCUGAGGACACCUGUGGUGUUAAUCGGAAACUAUCUUUCUGCAUCCAAGGGUUGCUUUUGAUAACUCAAAAGAGCUUUGCUCUAUUUGUGUCCCUUGAUGGGCUUUGUAAGGGAUAUAACUAAAUGUAUACUAUGUCCAAUGACAUUUGUGAUUGUAAUUCAAAGUAUCCUAUUGGUGAUAAACAAAACAAGUGUAUAUUUCUGAGAAAUAUGAAAUUGUAAUUUGAUGCGUUGAUGUUUUUUUAAUAAAGUUGUUGAGA